UACGAGGGGGGCAAGCGUUGUUCGGAAUUAUUGGGCGUAAAGGGUGCGUAGGCGGUCUGACAAGUCUGAUGUGAAAUCUAUGGGCUCAACCCAUAGUCUGCAUCGGAAACUGUCGGGCUUGAGUAUGGGAGAGGUGAGUGGAAUUUCCGGUGUAGCGGUGAAAUGCGUAGAGAUCGGCAGGAACACCCAGGGGGGAAACCAGUGGACUGGGCAUGUGCUGACGCUCAGGUGCGAAAGCGUGGGGAGCGAACCGG
Molecule: ribosomal RNA, 254 nt
Filed under: uncultured bacterium
Lineage: Bacteria
Description: partial 16S ribosomal RNA
Rfam family: Bacterial small subunit ribosomal RNA
Source: RNAcentral